CGGUAGCUAAUACCGCAUAACGUCGCAAGACCAAAGAGGGGGACCUUAGGGCCUCUUGCCAUCGGAUGUGCCCAGAUGGGAUUAGCUAGUAGGUGGGGUAACGGCUCACCUAGGCGACGAUCCCUAGCUGGUCUGAGAGGAUGACCAGCCACACUGGAACUGAGACACGGUCCAGACUCCUACGGGAGGCAGCAGUGGGGAAUAUUGCACAAUGGGCGCAAGCCUGAUGCAGCCAUGCCGCGUGUAUGAAGAAGGCCUUCGGGUUGUAAAGUACUUUCAGCGGGGAGGAAGGGAGUAAAGUUAAUACCUUUGCUCAUUGACGUUACCCGCAGAAGAAGCACCGGCUAACUCCGUGCCAGCAGCCGCGGUAAUACGGAGGGUGCAAGCGUUAAUCGGAAUUACUGGGCGUAAAGCGCACGCAGGCGGUUUGUUAAGUCAGAUGUGAAAUCCCCGGGCUCAACCUGGGAACUGCAUCUGAUACUGGCAAGCUUGAGUCUCGUAGAGGGGGGUAGAAUUCCAGGUGUAGCGGUGAAAUGCGUAGAGAUCUGGAGGAAUACCGGUGGCGGAAGGCGG
RNAcentral lists this ribosomal RNA (573 nucleotides) under bacterium. RNAcentral's name for it is "bacterial SSU rRNA". It matches the Rfam family "Bacterial small subunit ribosomal RNA", at positions 157 to 724 of the family's 1533-position model. The record is from RNAcentral.